GCGGGUAUAGCUCAAUUGGUAGAGUGCUAGCUUCCCAAGCUAGAAGUUGCGGGUUCGAUCCCCGUUACCCGCUCCA
RNAcentral lists this transfer RNA (76 nucleotides) under Deltaproteobacteria bacterium. Its description in RNAcentral is "tRNA-Gly". It matches the Rfam family "tRNA". From Rfam's summary of the family: Transfer RNA (tRNA) molecules are approximately 80 nucleotides in length. Their secondary structure includes four short double-helical elements and three loops (D, anti-codon, and T loops). Further hydrogen bonds mediate the characteristic L-shaped molecular structure. tRNAs have two regions of fundamental functional importance: the anti-codon, which is responsible for specific mRNA codon recognition, and the 3' end, to which the tRNAs corresponding amino acid is attached (by aminoacyl-tRNA synthetases). tRNAs cope with the degeneracy of the genetic code in two manners: having more than one tRNA (with a specific anti-codon) for a particular amino acid; and 'wobble' base-pairing, i.e. permitting non-standard base-pairing at the 3rd anti-codon position. The record is from RNAcentral. Lineage: Bacteria; Pseudomonadati; Myxococcota; Myxococcia.